Long non-coding RNA from Peromyscus californicus insignis, 1019 nucleotides. RefSeq lists it as uncharacterized. NCBI's taxonomy places the organism in Eukaryota, Metazoa, Chordata, Mammalia, Rodentia, Cricetidae. The record is from RefSeq and is a predicted model, not a curated record. The transcript has 3 exons.
CCAAAAAUCAACAUUAGUAUAGGAUUUCAGUUGCUGAUUGCUGUGGGAUGGUCUGUAUGUCAAAUGUGUUGCUGAUUGGUCAAUGAAUAAAUCACUGAUUGGUAAGUGGCCAGACAGGAAGUAUGGGCGGGACUAACAGAGAGGAGAAUUGAGAGAACAGGAAGUUGGGUGAUGGAGACACUGCCAGCCACCAUCAGGACAAGGAAGAUGUAAAGUACCGGUAAGCCACAAGCCAUGUGGCAAGGUAUAGAUUAAUGGAAAUGGAUUAAUUUAAGCUGUAAGAACAGUUAGCAAGAAGCCUGCCACGGCCAUACAGUUUGUAACCAAUAUAAGUCUCUGUGUUUACUUGGUUGGGUCUGAAUGGCUGUGGGACUGGUGGGUGUCAGAGAUUUGUCCUGACUGUGGGCCAGGCAGGAAAACUCUAGCUACAGCUGGUCUUUCCUGUUUCACUCUUCUUGACAGAAGCAUGGAUUCAUCUAAUGAUCUUCUGCGUCCCACCACCUGCAUCACUUUUGGAGACUCCAUCCAAGUCAGUACCUUGGUUCGUGGUCUGAGACAUGAUCUCUCAAUUCUUAAGAAAAAAAUUAUACACUGUGGAGUGAUCUAAUUCCUUCAUGCCCACAUGUUGGCCUUUCACUACAGACAUAGAUCUCUAAAGAAUUGGUGGCCUGGCAACAACCUAGAUGCCCCUCAACCUAAGAAUGGAUUAAGCAAUUGUGGUACACAUACACAAUGGAGUACUACUCAGCAGAGAAAAACAAUGCCAUCAUGAAAUUUACAGGCAAAUGGAUGGAACUAGAAAAUAUCAUCCUGAGUGAGGUAACCCAGACUCAGAAAGACAAACAUGAAGUAUAGAUUGAUCUAAUGACCUUCUGUGCCCUACCACCUGCAUCAUUUCUGGAGACUCCAUCCAAAUUAGUACCUUGGUUCAUGAUCUGAGACAUGCUCUCUCAGUGAGUAUGAAAAAAUUUUACACUGUGGAGAGAUCAAACUCCUUCAAGUCCAUAUGUUGGCCUUUC